UCCCUGGCAGUCCAAUGGUUAAGACUCUGUGCUUCCACUGCAGUGGCACAGGUUCAAUCCCUGGCCAAGGAA
Bos taurus (domestic cattle) is the source of this 72-nucleotide non-coding RNA. NCBI's taxonomy places the organism in Eukaryota, Metazoa, Chordata, Mammalia, Artiodactyla, Bovidae. The record is from Rfam.